Molecule: non-coding RNA, 69 nt
Organism: Ictidomys tridecemlineatus (thirteen-lined ground squirrel)
Lineage: Eukaryota; Metazoa; Chordata; Mammalia; Rodentia; Sciuridae
Source: Rfam
GGGGUUGUAGCUCAGUGGUAGAGUGCUUGCCUCACAUGUUUGAGGCACUGGGUUCGAUCCUCAGCACCA